RNAcentral lists this ribosomal RNA (620 nucleotides) under Sphingomonas olei. RNAcentral's name for it is "bacterial SSU rRNA". It matches the Rfam family "Bacterial small subunit ribosomal RNA", at positions 841 to 1457 of the family's 1533-position model. Lineage: Bacteria; Pseudomonadati; Pseudomonadota; Alphaproteobacteria; Sphingomonadales; Sphingomonadaceae. The record is from RNAcentral.
GUAUGGCGCAGAUUUCGCAUUAAGUCAUCCGCCUGGGGAGUACGGCCGCAAGGUUAAAACUUCAAUGAAUUGACGGGGGCCUGCACAAGCGGUGGAGCAUGUGGUUUAAUUCGAAGCAACGCGCAGAACCUUACCAGUGUUUGACAUGGUAGGACGGCUUCCAGAGAUGGAUUCCUUCCCUUCGGGGACCUACACACAGGUGCUGCAUGGCUGUCGUCAGCUCUUGUCGUGAGAUGUUGGGUUAAGUCCCGCAACGAGCGCAACCCUCGCCUUUAGUUACCAUCAUUUAGUUGGCUACUUUAAAGGAACCGCCGGUGAUAAGCCGGAGGAAGGUGGGGAUGACGUCAAGUCCUCAUGGCCCUUACGCGAUGGGCUACACACGUGCUACAAUGGCAACUACAGUGGGCAGCAAUCCCGCGAGGGUGAGCUAAUCUCCAAAAGUUGUCUCAGUUCGGAUUGUUCUCUGCAACUCGAGAGCAUGAAGGCGGAAUCGCUAGUAAUCGCGGAUCAGCAUGCCGCGGUGAAUACGUUCCCAGGCCUUGUACACACCGCCCGUCACACCAUGGGAGUUGGAUUCUUCCGAAGGCGCCGCGCUUAACUGGCAAGGAAGGCAAGGCAAC